RNAcentral lists this ribosomal RNA (189 nucleotides) under uncultured bacterium. Its description in RNAcentral is "partial 16S ribosomal RNA". It matches the Rfam family "Bacterial small subunit ribosomal RNA", at positions 338 to 524 of the family's 1533-position model. The record is from RNAcentral.
CCUACGGGAGGCAGCAGUGAGGAAUAUUGGACAAUGGUCGGAAGACUGAUCCAGCCAUGCCGCGUGAAGGAAUAAGGUCCUAUGGAUUGUAAACUUCUUUUGAGAGGGAGCAAUAAGGUGUACGUGUACACCGAUGAGAGUACCUUUCGAAUAAGCAUCGGCUAACUCCGUGCCAGCAGCCGCGGAUAA